AGAAAUAAAAAAGCAUCUUGUUGGGCUGGGAAACCAAACGCUCUUAAUGCUGUGACCAAAGAUAGAUGUUCUCCACAGAACAAAACAGGCAUUUGAUUGUGCUAUGUUUUUCUCAGAAGAUAUAUGC
Cricetulus griseus (Chinese hamster) is the source of this 127-nucleotide small nucleolar RNA. The record is from Ensembl. Lineage: Eukaryota; Metazoa; Chordata; Mammalia; Rodentia; Cricetidae.